Molecule: transfer RNA, 74 nt
Filed under: Clostridium cochlearium
Lineage: Bacteria; Bacillati; Bacillota; Clostridia; Eubacteriales; Clostridiaceae
Also listed under: 7 other names
Description: tRNA-Gly
Rfam family: tRNA
About the family: Transfer RNA (tRNA) molecules are approximately 80 nucleotides in length. Their secondary structure includes four short double-helical elements and three loops (D, anti-codon, and T loops).
Source: RNAcentral
GCGGGUGUAGCUCAGUGGUAGAGCACUGGCUUCCCAAGCCAGCUACGAGGGUUCGAUUCCCUUCACCCGCUCCA